This 159-nucleotide ribosomal RNA is filed under the name uncultured bacterium. RNAcentral's name for it is "partial 16S ribosomal RNA". It matches the Rfam family "Bacterial small subunit ribosomal RNA", at positions 373 to 529 of the family's 1533-position model. The record is from RNAcentral.
AGACGAGUCUGCUGCAGCACGCGCGUGAGUGAGAAGGCCUUCGGGUUGUAAAGCUCUUUUGUCAGGGAAGAACACGUACCGGAGUAACUGCCGGUACCUUGACGGUACCUGACCAGAAAGCCCCGGCUAACUACAUGCCAGCAGCCGCGGUAAUAGGGU